CCAUGCAGUCGAGCGGAAGGCCCUUCGGGGUACUCGAGCGGCGAACGGGUGAGUAACACGUGAGCAACCUGCCCUAGGCUUUGGGAUAACCCCGGGAAACCGGGGCUAAUACCGAAUAGGACCCCUGGACGCAUGUUUGGGGGUGGAAAGUUUUUCGGCCUGGGAUGGGCUCGCGGCCUAUCAGCUUGUUGGUGGGGUGAUGGCCUACCAAGGCGACGACGGGUAGCCGGCCUGAGAGGGCGACCGGCCACACUGGGACUGAGACACGGCCCAGACUCCUACGGGAGGCAGCAGUGGGGAAUAUUGCACAAUGGGCGGAAGCCUGAUGCAGCGACGCCGCGUGAGGGAUGACGGCCUUCGGGUUGUAAACCUCUUUCAGCAGGGACGAAGCGCAAGUGACGGUACCUGCAGAAGAAGCACCGGCCAACUACGUGCCAGCAGCCGCGGUAAGACGUAGGGUGCGAGCGUUGUCCGGAUUUAUUGGGCGUAAAGAGCUCGUAGGCGGCUUGUCGCGUCGACUGUGAAAACCCGCGGCUCAACCGCGGGCCUGCAGUCGAUACGGGCAGGCUAGAGUUCGGUAGGGGAGACUGGAAUUCCUGGUGUAGCGGUGAAAUGCGCAGAUAUCAGGAGGAACACCGGUGGCGAAGGCGGGUCUCUGGGCCGAUACUGACGCUGAGGAGCGAAAGCGUGUGGAGCGAACAGGAUUAGAUACCCUGGUAGUCCACGCUGUAAACGUUGGGCGCUAGGUGUGGGGGGCCUCUCCGGUUCCCUGUGCCGCAGCUAACGCAUUAAGCGCCCCGCCUGGGGAGUACGGCCGCAAGG
RNAcentral lists this ribosomal RNA (822 nucleotides) under Micromonospora sp. Its description in RNAcentral is "bacterial SSU rRNA". It matches the Rfam family "Bacterial small subunit ribosomal RNA", at positions 53 to 893 of the family's 1533-position model. The record is from RNAcentral. Lineage: Bacteria; Bacillati; Actinomycetota; Actinomycetes; Micromonosporales; Micromonosporaceae.